GGGAGGUUUCCUCCUUCCUUUUUUAUUUUCCCGAUUCCCUGGUUUCGUUUUCUUCUUCUCUUCCGACCACCGUCCCCCGUCAACCCCACACUGUUUCCUCUCCGCCGUCAACACCUCCGCCCACCGCCACCGCUGCCGCCGUCAAUUCUUCCGCGUCACCACAUCUCCCGUCUCUUUCCUCUACCAUAGUUGUGUCACUCCGCCGGCAUUCAUCGGCCCGGCCGAGUCCACCACCACCACCGUUUUCCGCCCUCCCACCACCGUCAACUUCGGCCUUCCACUGCUGUCAGCGCUCCCCGCUCGCUCCCCACCGCCGCUGCCACGCCUGCUGCUGCACCCCUGCGCUGCGCGCUGCCCCUGCAACUCUUUACUGCCGCUCGCCGCUGCUAAGUUGCUGCCGCACCGCCGCGCCGCCGGGUUGCUCUCACCGCCGCGCCGCCGCGUUGCCGUCGCCGCCGUCGACUGCUGCACCACCACUGUCGGCUCUGACAGUCAUCACCGCAGACCGCUCCAACCGUCCUGCAUCAGCUCCUCCCUGCCAACAGUUGCUCCGACCACCACCACCGGACCCUGCAACGCCGUGACCUUCUUCCCAGCAUCA
This 601-nucleotide long non-coding RNA is filed under the name Phoenix dactylifera (date palm). RNAcentral's name for it is "long non-coding RNA (PDAC_LNC020861)". The record is from RNAcentral. Lineage: Eukaryota; Viridiplantae; Streptophyta; Magnoliopsida; Arecales; Arecaceae.